This 660-nucleotide long non-coding RNA is filed under the name Manihot esculenta (cassava). RNAcentral describes it as "long non-coding RNA (MESC_LNC011303)". The record is from RNAcentral. Lineage: Eukaryota; Viridiplantae; Streptophyta; Magnoliopsida; Malpighiales; Euphorbiaceae.
UCAAUUUACACAUUUUCUACCUAACUUUGUGGUUUUUGUCUUAUUUUGUAGGAAAUGGAGCAAAAUGGUAAUUUGGCUAAAAUGGCCUUAAUUCUGCCCAAAAGACAGCAAAAGAGAAUAAGCAUGGUUUGCCCAACUUGAUUGCCCAAGCCAAGGAGAAGCUGAGAUAAAGAGGAAAAAGUGAUAAAGUAUGCUGUCCAGACUGUUUGCCCAAACAGCACUGGGCAAACAACAAAGAAAGUCAGAAACAGAGCAUAUGCAGCCAACAGUGAUCCCAGACAGCCUGUUUGCCCAAACAGCGACGGGCAAACAGCACCAGCAGGCAAAAAACCAGCAGAAUCUGUCAAACUUGCUGACCAAGUCAACACGAAUCCCCACGCACUCCAAACACGUGGGACAGCUUAGAAACACCUAUUUACACCUCAGCACACUCUCCUACAUAUUCAGGAAGCCAAGAAAUAAAAAGACAAGAAUGCCCUCCAAGAAUUCAAGACUAAAUAGGAAAAAAGAGUCCCAAACUAAAAAGGAAAAUUAGGGCAGCCUCUUCACCUAUAAAAAGGCAUGCAAACCAGCAAAGAAGACAUCCUGGAAUUCGGGGGACUAUCCUUGGAUCAAGAAACCUUCGGCAGAAUCACCACAGCAGCUGCGCCCUUGCGCCAG